RNAcentral lists this ribosomal RNA (306 nucleotides) under Escherichia coli. RNAcentral describes it as "partial 16S ribosomal RNA". It matches the Rfam family "Bacterial small subunit ribosomal RNA", at positions 1 to 303 of the family's 1533-position model. The record is from RNAcentral. Lineage: Bacteria; Pseudomonadati; Pseudomonadota; Gammaproteobacteria; Enterobacterales; Enterobacteriaceae.
AAAUUGAAGAGUUUGAUCAUGGCUCAGAUUGAACGCUGGCGGCAGGCCUAACACAUGCAAGUCGAACGGUAACAGGAAACAGCUUGCUGUUUCGCUGACGAGUGGCGGACGGGUGAGUAAUGUCUGGGAAACUGCCUGAUGGAGGGGGAUAACUACUGGAAACGGUAGCUAAUACCGCAUAAUGUCGCAAGACCAAAGAGGGGGACCUUCGGGCCUCUUGCCAUCGGAUGUGCCCAGAUGGGAUUAGCUAGUAGGUGGGGUAACGGCUCACCUAGGCGACGAUCCCUAGCUGGUCUGAGAGGAUGA